Molecule: ribosomal RNA, 465 nt
Filed under: Vreelandella stevensii
Lineage: Bacteria; Pseudomonadati; Pseudomonadota; Gammaproteobacteria; Oceanospirillales; Halomonadaceae
Description: partial 16S ribosomal RNA
Rfam family: Bacterial small subunit ribosomal RNA
Source: RNAcentral
CCUACGGUUGGCUGCAGUGGGGAAUAUUGGACAAUGGGGGCAACCCUGAUCCAGCCAUGCCGCGUGUGUGAAGAAGGCCCUCGGGUUGUAAAGCACUUUCAGUGAGGAAGAACGCCUGGUGGUUAAUACCCAUCAGGAAAGACAUCACUCACAGAAGAAGCACCGGCUAACUCCGUGCCAGCAGCCGCGGUAAUACGGAGGGUGCGAGCGUUAAUCGGAAUUACUGGGCGUAAAGCGCGCGUAGGUGGCUUGAUAAGCCGGUUGUGAAAGCCCCGGGCUCAACCUGGGAACGGCAUCCGGAACUGUCAAGCUAGAGUGCAGGAGAGGAAGGUAGAAUUCCCGGUGUAGCGGUGAAAUGCGUAGAGAUCGGGAGGAAUACCAGUGGCGAAGGCGGCCUUCUGGACUGACACUGACACUGAGGUGCGAAAGCGUGGGUAGCAAACAGGAUUAGAUACCCGAGUAGUC